Molecule: long non-coding RNA, 446 nt
Organism: Vitis riparia (riverbank grape)
Lineage: Eukaryota; Viridiplantae; Streptophyta; Magnoliopsida; Vitales; Vitaceae
Exons: 2
Source: RefSeq, a predicted model, not a curated record
UUUCUUUAGUUUCUUAUCAAAAAUUUUUUAUUUACUUUCAAGUACAUUGUGGUUUUAAAAUUUGAUCUCUACCUUGCUGUAGGCGUAAUGGUAGAAUUUUCAGGUUUCCCCUGGUCAAGAGAAGUUUAUUGGGAAUUAGUUCUUCGAUAAGUUUUCUCCAUAUUCCCUAUUCUCUCAAAUUUUGCGUUGUUAUUCUUAUUUAUCUUUUAUGUUUUCGUGUUAUAUGUCUACUAUAUGUGUGUUCUAGAAAAUUAAUAUUGAAUCCAAUAAUUUCUUUGUUUCUUUUUUAUCUUGAUGUUGCGUUGUCUAUUCCUCAUUUGUUUAGUUUCGUAUCAGCAAAAUUUCAACCAUAUUAAGCCUUAAGAGUUAAUUUUCUAAUUCUCGUUUUUACAUUUGAUCUCUAGUUUUUACAUUUGAUAUCUACUCUUUUCUCUAUCUUGCUUUAA